GGAAGGGUGGCCGAGUGGUUUAAGGCACCGGUCUUGAAAACCGGCGUGCCUGCAAGGGUACCGUGAGUUCGAAUCUCACCCCUUCCGCCA
Molecule: transfer RNA, 90 nt
Filed under: Hyphomicrobiales bacterium
Lineage: Bacteria; Pseudomonadati; Pseudomonadota; Alphaproteobacteria; Hyphomicrobiales
Also listed under: 1 other name
Description: Rhizobiales bacterium (bioreactor metagenome) tRNA-Ser
Rfam family: tRNA
About the family: Transfer RNA (tRNA) molecules are approximately 80 nucleotides in length. Their secondary structure includes four short double-helical elements and three loops (D, anti-codon, and T loops).
Source: RNAcentral